CUGCAUUCCAGCUGGGCAAGGCCUGGGCAGAACGCAGCGCGGGAGCGCAGGAGACAGUGGCGGGCACUGCGAAGCCAAGCAGAAGAACUGGUCCUGGCCCACAAGGAAAAGGAAAGGAUCUGGGCCCUAGAAACUGAUGGCUUUCUCCUGAGAGCUGCCUCCUUUCCAUUGCCAAGUGUAACUUCAUAGGGGAAAAUCCAACGCCCUUGGCAGCUGUCUGUGACAAGUCAGAAACUCCAUCUACCCGUACCCUGGGCACUCUGCAACCUUCCCUAUCGUGUGAGGACAUCCCACGUGGAGCAUUGAAAGAGAGAGCCUGUGUGUCUUCUGGGACCUUGUGCUUCUCCUGAAUAAUCCCCUGCUUUUUGAACACCUUUGCCUUGGAGAGAUCCCAGCGUUCCCCAGAGUUUCUCAGGAUGGUGAUUAUCACUACCUAUUUUUUUUUCAUGUCGAUAUGGUAAUAAAGGGCACAUUAGAGGCUCUGCACCUGCUUCAGUAGCAUGAAUUCUGAGCAGUGUGGAAGCAUUGGAGCAGCUCAAUAAUUUCUCAGAAGGCAGGCAGUGGUGUGGACACCAAGGUAAAAAUGC
Molecule: long non-coding RNA, 587 nt
Organism: Rattus rattus (black rat)
Lineage: Eukaryota; Metazoa; Chordata; Mammalia; Rodentia; Muridae
Exons: 3
Source: RefSeq, a predicted model, not a curated record